GGGGGUUCUUUAAACAUGCAAGUCGAGCGGUAAGGCCCCUUCGGGGGUACACGAGCGGCGAACGGGUGAGUAACACGUGAGUAAUCUGCCCUUGGCUUCGGGAUAGCCACCGGAAACGGUGAUUAAUACCGGAUAUGCACUACUGCUCGCAUGGGUGGUGGUGGAAAGUUUUUUCGGCCAGGGAUGUGCUCGCGGCCUAUCAGCUUGAUGGUGAGGUAAUGGCUCACCAUGGCUUCGACGGGUAGCCGGCCUGAGAGGGUGACCGGUCACACUGGGACUGAGACACGGCCCAGACUCCUACGGGAGGCAGCAGUGGGGAAUAUUGGACAAUGGGCGGAAGCCUGAUCCAGCAGCGCCGCGUGAGGGAUGACGGCCUUCGGGUUGUAAACCUCUUUCAGCAGGGACGAAGCGCAAGUGACGGUACCUGCAGAAGAAGCACCGGCCAACUACGUGCCAGCAGCCGCGGUAAUAAUCUAGAUG
RNAcentral lists this ribosomal RNA (480 nucleotides) under uncultured Nocardioides sp. RNAcentral describes it as "bacterial SSU rRNA". It matches the Rfam family "Bacterial small subunit ribosomal RNA", at positions 40 to 534 of the family's 1533-position model. Lineage: Bacteria; Bacillati; Actinomycetota; Actinomycetes; Propionibacteriales; Nocardioidaceae. The record is from RNAcentral.